GAAUGUGAGGGAAGUCGUUACAAUGUGUACCACCCCACUGAUCACUAGGGUUGAGCCGGUGACCUAGCUAGCUACGUGGAUUGUGAAUGUCCCCUUCUUUCCUCAGUGUUUCAUAUACACCUCAGGUAAAAACUGCUGUGCUCUGUAAGAGAGGACAUCCCUCCUGGAGGAAAGAAGGGCGAUCUUGGACCAAGAGUAACUGAGAAGCUGUUCUCUGCUGGAACUUCCAGGCAGGCUCUGAAGGAGCAAAGAUAGAAUGUUACAAGUGAACAAAUAAAAGAAUCUG
Molecule: small nuclear RNA, 286 nt
Filed under: Mus caroli (Ryukyu mouse)
Lineage: Eukaryota; Metazoa; Chordata; Mammalia; Rodentia; Muridae
Description: sRNA (MGP_CAROLIEiJ_G0008571.1)
Rfam family: 7SK RNA
About the family: 7SK was discovered as an abundant small nuclear RNA in the mid-70s but a possible function has only recently been suggested. Two independent studies have found that 7SK RNA binds the CDK9/cyclin T complex (known as elongation factor P-TEFb). P-TEFb activates transcription by phosphorylating the C-terminal domain of RNA polymerase II.
Source: RNAcentral